GCGGGAGUAGCUAAGCCUGGACAAAGGCGCAGGGCUUAAGAUCCUGUCUCAGAGGAGUCCGGGGGUUCAAAUCCCCUCUCCCGCA
This 85-nucleotide transfer RNA is filed under the name Thermoplasmata archaeon. RNAcentral describes it as "tRNA-Leu". It matches the Rfam family "tRNA". Rfam says of the family: Transfer RNA (tRNA) molecules are approximately 80 nucleotides in length. Lineage: Archaea; Methanobacteriati; Thermoplasmatota; Thermoplasmata. The record is from RNAcentral.